UCCGAUAUGGUGUAACGGCUAACAUCGCCGCCUUUCAGUCUUUAAAACAUGAAAGCAAGUUCCGCGGCAGCUCGGGGUUCGAUUCCCCGUAUCGGAG
This is a non-coding RNA of Aspergillus hancockii, 97 nucleotides long. The record is from the annotation of a GenBank genome assembly. Lineage: Eukaryota; Fungi; Ascomycota; Eurotiomycetes; Eurotiales; Aspergillaceae.